RNAcentral lists this ribosomal RNA (253 nucleotides) under uncultured bacterium. RNAcentral describes it as "partial 16S ribosomal RNA". It matches the Rfam family "Bacterial small subunit ribosomal RNA", at positions 524 to 776 of the family's 1533-position model. The record is from RNAcentral.
UACGUAGGGUGCAAGCGUUAAUCGGAAUUACUGGGCGUAAAGCGCGCGUAGGUGGUUCAGUAAGUUGGAAGUGAAAUCCCCGGGCUCAACCUGGGAACUGCUUUCAAAACUGCUGAGCUAGAGUACGGUAGAGGGUGGUGGAAUUUCCUGUGUAGCGGUGAAAUGCGUAGAUAUAGGAAGGAACACCAGUGGCGAAGGCGACCACCUGGACUGUUACUGACACUGAGGUGCGAAAGCGUGGGGAGCAAACAGG